RNAcentral lists this non-coding RNA (28 nucleotides) under Mus musculus (house mouse). The record is from RNAcentral. Lineage: Eukaryota; Metazoa; Chordata; Mammalia; Rodentia; Muridae.
UAGCUUUAAAAGUGAUAGGGAUGGAUGG